This 342-nucleotide ribosomal RNA is filed under the name uncultured fungus. RNAcentral describes it as "eukaryotic LSU rRNA". Lineage: Eukaryota; Fungi. The record is from RNAcentral.
AGAGUUAAAAGUACGUGAAAUUGCUAAAAGGGAAACAUUUGACACCAGUAUUUGGGAGUCGGAAAUCAGCCUCGGUAUACUGGGGUGCACUUUCCGGCUACCAGGUCAACAUCAGUUUGGUAUCGAGUAAAAAGCUGUAGGAAGGUGACUUGGGCUUCGGUCUGAGUGUUAUAGCCUAUAGCCAUGCUCGGGACUGGACUGAGGUCUGCAGUGUUAUUUGGGUACCUGAUCGCCUCUUGAUCCAUGUCUUUAGACAGCACGCUGACUAGGGAUGUGGCUAGGGAGCCCGGUUAGUUUGCCACACCAACACUUAGGAUGUUGAUGAAAUGGUUCUAAACGACC